AACGAACGCUGGCGGCUGGCCUAACACAUGCAAGUCGAGCGGACCUUUCGGGGUCAGCGGCGGACGGGUGAGUAACGCGUGGGAAUAUGCCCUUCUCUACGGAAUAGUCCUGGGAAACUGGGGGUAAUACCGUAUACGCCCUUUGGGGGAAAGAUUUAUCGGGGAAGGAUUAGCCCGCGUUGGAUUAGGUAGUUGGUGGGGUAAUGGCCUACCAAGCCGACGAUCCAUAGCUGGUUUGAGAGGAUGAUCAGCCACACUGGGACUGAGACACGGCCCAGACUCCUACGGGAGGCAGCAGUGGGGAAUCUUAGACAAUGGGGGCAACCCUGAUCUAGCCAUGCCGCGUGAGUGAUGAAGGCCUUAGGGUUGUAAAGCUCUUUCAGCUGGGAAGAUAAUGACGGUACCAGCAGAAGAAGCCCCGGCUAACUCCGUG
This 433-nucleotide ribosomal RNA is filed under the name uncultured bacterium. Its description in RNAcentral is "partial 16S ribosomal RNA". It matches the Rfam family "Bacterial small subunit ribosomal RNA", at positions 29 to 507 of the family's 1533-position model. The record is from RNAcentral.